GGAAGUACAAUUAAAUCUAUUUUGCACCUAUGUGUUGGUGGACAGAUGAGUUUCCACAUGGCAGAGCUUUAUGAUCUUUAAGGUAGACUGAACUAAUAGAUUGGUGUGGAGCGCGCUGAAGUUACUAAGGAUGAGAAAGCAAGCAGCAGUACAUUUGAACUACAGGUUUCUCAUAUGCUCCACGUCAUGCUGAGUUUUUAUAGCUCCUGGCUUUCAAAAAGCCUGUUUCAAAGAGGUUUGCGCUAGACUGGGCAUGCAGUUUUGCUCUGCAGAUAUUGUCGCUACCGAUUUAGUGGAAUGCAAUUAGGAAGCCUAAAUUAAGUGGUAAUGGAGAACCAGCUCUUGAAACUGGGGUUUCCACGGCAACCAUUGCUUACAAUACAGCCUUCAGUUAGUUUUCCCACUUUAUCUGCAAAAUGCACAAUUGAGCUUUAAAACAGCUUUGUGCUGAAAAGCGCACUGUAAACAACUGUUUGCAAUGAGAUUUUUACACUGUCUUUAAAUACAACAAGCUAUCAAAUAAAAUUUACUUGUCCACACUAAUAAAAAAAAAAAAAGAAUCCAUGCAGUACAAGAAACUAAAGGGUCCAGAAACUUAUUAUUCAUUCUGGAAAUGUAUAUAUAAUACAAAAAUUCAAGAUCUUGUGGGUCCUCAGUUUGUCUUUUAAGUCUUAUCGUUAUUCCUCAAUUUUAAGACACAUAAUCCCAUAUCUCUCAGUACUGAGAAGAACUGAGUGUUUUGGUACAAAUACUGCAUUUAUCGCAAUAGUAAUGCUAUAUAGUUAGAAAGUGCUUUUUGUCUAACAUGAGCUAAUAAAUGUGCAUUUUCAUCAGUUCCUUUAACAUCUAGCAAUCCUUUACAGACUUUUUUUUUCAUUUUUCCCUCUGUAAUAUAUUAUUAUAUCCUUCAUAAAUGUUCAUAUUUUAUGGCAAAGUAACACUGUGCCACCUCUGAACUGCUUAACAUUCUUGAUUGCUUUAGGAUCAUAGCUCAACUUUUGCAUGUUGUCAAAUGUAACCACAGGCAAUUAAAUAUGUGUAAAGUACAGGAAAGUGGAAAGGUUGAUGUUAAGGUCAUAUGUGUAAUUUGUAUUGACCACCCUUUUCAUGAUAACCCCCUCAAACUGAACCUCUAAACUGAAAUUACGUAUUUGCAACCAAUUGUUUCUCCUCUGUUAUACAAUCACAAGUCUUGGACUAAUGCUGUCAGGUGACUUGUAAGAGCUGAGAUCCUGGCAGGUCUUAAUUUUCCCUUUGUUUCCCUUUUACAGCUAUUUGUUUUAAUCACGAUAAAAAUCUAACAGAAAACACUGUUUAAACUUCACCAAGAUAAUUUCAGAAGAGACAUCACUCAGUUUUCAUUUCUGGCCUAUCAGCUGUUAGAGUACUCUUUUAAGGCAGUGUUCUUCGGAAAAAGAGAAAAAACACACCACCAAAGGAUCGCACAGCAAGUCAAAACACACCUAAUUUGUGUUUCAGCUCAAGUAUAGCAACCCAAGCACCUUGCAGCCUUUCACGGCUGACACACUUGUGAGUGUGUGUGUUACAGCAACCAUGCCAGGUCAAUGCAGAGAGAGAGAAAAAGGGUGUGAGGGUGAAGGUGGUGGGAAGGGGAGAGAAAGGGGAGGUGUGGGUGCCUUCCCUUGGGAGCCUGCUGGUCAGAGGACUGUACCACGGCAUCCACACUCAUGUAUAAAUCUGGAUUUGAUGUAGUUUCCGCAGACUUUGAACGUGCCAGGCAGGGAAGCCUGCCCUUCACAGUACGGGUGCGCUUUCAGACGCGGUGAUCAGGCUGUGUCUAUUCUGAUCUGCUUAAAACAGCCUUUUCAGUGCUAACCAAAACAAGAAUGAGGACAGGAAGGCUGAUCGCAAAGUUCACAUCUCCUCCGCUGUGUGCCAGCACUAAUAGGAGUUUCUUCUGUGAUGGGUAGGUCAUAAAACACACAGCUGUAGAGACUGUGCAGGGUGAACAAAUCAAAGAACUUAGCAAUAAAAAUGAUGUGUGUGCCAAUAUUAUUUCAUAUUAACUUGUGAAAAUUGUUGAAGAAACACAUCUUUGUCAUAUAUCAGAAUUGGCUCUAAAGCUGAAUCAACGGAUUAAUAGGGUUAUUUGUAAUGAUAUUGUCCCAUAAAGGCUUUAUUAUUUAGGAAUCAGAGUUGGAAAUUGUAAUUUCUUCAAUGAUUUUUCAUCACAUAAAUUGGCCUGCCUCAACUCCUCCGUCUAGAAGGCAAGAGGAGAGGUUGAGCUGGUCCCCAUAUUCAUUCUUACACAAAAUCUGCUCAUUUGGAUGGAUCCCAAAUUUUAAAGAAACAAGUUCCUGGAAGGGAUGCAGAAUGCCAGUGUGCACAAGGCUUUCACAGGGCAUCUCGUUUCAACACUGACUGCCUGCAUUUUAUCAGAGUACUAAAGGACACAUUGAAAUUAUUUUGUUCUGGCACCAGCGCGCGUUGUGAUGUGUGUGCAUUCAAUUACACUUGACAAAUCUUUGGGGCAAACAAAAUGGUCUAAUGUAAGGAAAUAUCUUAGCAUAUUCCAAAAUGACAUUUUUAGACCAAACAUGUGUUCGAUUGAUUUGCCUUCUCCAGAGAUCACUUUUGAAUCCAGGCCCACGAUAAGUAGGGGGGCAGGCUCUCGCUGAAGGCCAGGCGGGUCAGCUGUGCUUCCGCUGGUAUUUCCUGAGCUGCAGAGUCCUGUACCUAACUGUACAAAUAGCUCCACAUGGCAUCCUGAGAGCGUGCCAGGGAAUUUUAUGAUCACACGCCAAGUAUGGUUGUCAGGUUCCACUCCACUGCUGUGUGUGUAUGUGUGUGCUCAUAUGUGUGUGUGGCUGGAGCUAACUUCAGACUGAGUAAUUACCAUAAUCCAAACAGGGCCUUUACCAUCUUAUUUGCAUUCAGCCAGCAGUGCUGUUUUUAUCAGCACCACUACUGAAUUGUUGCAAAGUUUUAAUUAUCUUGACAACUCUCCUUUUUUUUUUCAUUUGUUCCUUUUUUUUUUUUUUCUCCUCCCCCCCUUGGGUUGUGUUGGCUUUCAGCAGUCACCCCUCUAUGGCAGCAAUCAUAUUUCUGCAAUAGGAAGUUUUCACACUUUUUCUUCUUCUAGUAUAAUUCAUAGUAACCACCUCAAAGGCUUCUCAGAGUGGGGACAGAGGCAGAGGGAGGUUGUCUUUAUUAAUUAAUGCCUAAUAUUUUUCACAGCAAAAGUCACUCCAAAUGUCUCUUUUUAAAUUGUAUUUGAAUCACUGGUGUAACUUUACAUAUGUGUGUAGGCUUGCUGAACUGAAAGAAACCAUUUCUUAUGCAGAAAACUACCCCCUUGCAUAUAUGUUUGCCAGACUAGAGCUUUAGUUGUCAUGUUUUCUGUAUUUCCAUAAUCUUUUGAUUUAGGAUUAGUGUAAAAUGUAUCAUGUCACUUACUUACUUACAUUUGCUCUUUCUCAAACACUCUGCGUUUUCAGUAUCUGAAUGCAAAGUUAGGCAAAUUCAACCUUGAAAUAAGACACCAUUUCCUAGCAGUAAGGGUAAUUAAACACUGGAAGAUCUUACCCAGGAAGUAGGUGGACUCACCAUAUCUUAGAGUCUUUAAAAAGAGAUUAGACAACUUUCUGAAAGACAUGAUUUAAUACAGCUUCCAGGGAAAGAUUCUAGUAUAUGCACACAGGAGGUCAGACGAGACAGUCUCUGACGUACCUUUCGACUUCUGAGCCUGUUGGCCUAGAAAUCUAAGUUCAGAUAUGGUUUGGUUCAUGUUUAAAGAUCAGUUAUAAUAUCUACAUACAGAAAUUAUCUCCUGGGAACAUUAGGACAAAAUAUUUUUCAAAAUGGUGGUGCUGAACUAAAUUAGGUUUUGCUUGCUCAGUUUUCCAUUGCUUUUUGUUUUGCUUUUAUAAGUACUUAAAAAUCACAAACGUUAAUGCAGAUUAAAAUACUCCAGUAUGAGAUCGUUAUGGAGGAAUAGAAGGCUUUAAAGCCUAAAGAUUCACAGAACAAACGUAAAAAUUACUUUUAGUCCGUUGGAUUCUCAGAUGCAAUAAAUGUUUUAAAAAUAAGUACAGUUAAUAUUUUUCUAACCAUGGAAUACUAUGAUUGUAUUUAGCUUCUCAUCUCUUAUGAAGUUUAUGCAUCAGAUUGAAUAUAAUUGCUAUCAAAUGGUAUGGUAGUAUUCUGUUCUCCUGAAAGGUAAACAAAUUCUGCUUAACAGUUGUUAGACAUUUGUUUUGCUGUAGUUUGGUCUUAUAAACACCUUAUCCUUGUUUUCCCUUUAAAAGGAAAAAAAAAAAAAUAAAGGUAAGAACCAUUAGGGAUUUCUCUUUAAAUCCAGCAAUCUAUGCAUACUCCUAAGAAUCAAUGCUCAGUAAGCUGUCUGGUGUUCUGCAAUAAAUUCUAGCUUUUAUAGACUUUUGCUGGGCCAGGUAGCUGCUAAUGCCAUAGAAAUUGAUUAUUUGUGGUGUUCUUAUCACUGCUUAAAAUAUCUAAUUGCUUUUUCUCCACAGAUUUGGAUUUGGCUUGCUUGAUGCUGGGCGAUUAAUGAAGGAAGCCCUAACUGGACAAAUAAAAAAAAUGACAGUAAGAUGUGGAUGUUCAUCUUUAAUGAACAAAAUUAUCAUCUUUACCAAAGUGGAAACCAGCUAACUUUUACGGUGCGACUGACGACCUACUUAGCAAUAGCUGAGUAUUCACUCCUUCUUGAAAUGGUAAAGUAACAUUGUAUCCAUACCUAAGAUGAAGAACCACCUGUUGCUCUAGUAAUUUUUUUCUCUCCUCCGUAUAAUUUCUUGGGACCUUUCUCAUUACUUGCAGCAGCAGGAUGUGCUGGCUAGUAUUUAUGUAGUCAGAAAUUUUAACUUAGAAUUACAGCCUGUACAAUCCUGUCAAGUACUCAGAAUUGUUAUGUUUAUGUAUUUUAAUCUUUGUAAGGUAAGGAGUCCACUCAUAAUCUAAUUGGUUUUGUUUAUUGUUGUGUUUGCCGUUUUACAGAAUAGUUCACUGGAAGGUGCCUACUUUAUAAUGUCCUCACUUCUUAAUAAAAGAUCUUAU
Long non-coding RNA from Strigops habroptila (Kakapo), 5037 nucleotides. The record is from Ensembl. NCBI's taxonomy places the organism in Eukaryota, Metazoa, Chordata, Aves, Psittaciformes, Psittacidae.